CCUCUGCAGUCUUAAUCUUCACCAAGACUCUGUCGCCCAAAGGCUUAAGUGUAGUGUACUUAGGAGCUACGGUGGUAGCCGCCUUGACAACAAGACGACUAAAAGACCUGCUGUUGUUGUGCUUCAAAGGAGCAAAAGAUACGGUCUUUACAAUGCAAGUGGACCUGAGCCCUUCAAAGGAUGCAAAACCAUUGCCAGAGAUAGAGGAUGCUGUUAGCUGAGUGGACGCCAUUUUUUUUCUGAAUUUGGAUAAGUUUUUUCUUCUUCUCAACUGGAGUAAAUUGUUGGAAAUAUGGAGGAGAGUAGGUAAGAAGAGGAUAACAAAACCCUAGAAGGUUCAAGAGGAGG
Molecule: unclassified non-coding RNA, 348 nt
Filed under: Hevea brasiliensis (rubber tree)
Lineage: Eukaryota; Viridiplantae; Streptophyta; Magnoliopsida; Malpighiales; Euphorbiaceae
Source: RNAcentral